UUAAAAAGUAAAUUAAUUUAUUUGAGUAGUAUUAGUUAUAUUCUUGAAACUAAAAAAAUUUGGCGGUAUUUUAGUCUAUUCAGAGGAACUUGUUUUAUAAUCGAUAAUCCACGAUGUACCUUACUUAAAAUUGUUAAUCAAUCUAUAUAUCGUUGUUAUUAGAAUAUUUUAUAAGAAUAAUAAUUUUCUAUAAUUUUUAUUAAAAUUAAUAUCAAAUCAAGGUGUAGUUUAUUUUUAAGUAAAAAUGAGUUACAAUAAAAUAUAUUUAUGAAUUUAAAUAUGAAAAAUUUAAUGAAAUUGGAUUUGAUAGUAAAAUUAUAAAGAUAAAUAAUUUGAUUUUAGCUCUAAGAUAUGU
RNAcentral lists this ribosomal RNA (355 nucleotides) under Ocyptamus (Hybobathus) aff. arx GFGM-2015. RNAcentral's name for it is "partial 12S ribosomal RNA". Lineage: Eukaryota; Metazoa; Arthropoda; Insecta; Diptera; Syrphidae. The record is from RNAcentral.